RNAcentral lists this ribosomal RNA (416 nucleotides) under uncultured bacterium. RNAcentral's name for it is "bacterial SSU rRNA". It matches the Rfam family "Bacterial small subunit ribosomal RNA", at positions 506 to 921 of the family's 1533-position model. The record is from RNAcentral.
UGCCAGCAGCCGCGGUAAAACGUAGGAGGCGAGCGUUAUCCGGAUUUACUGGGCGUAAAGCGCACGCAGGCGGCUCGGCAAGUUGGGCGUUAAAGCUCCUGGCUUAACUGGGAGAGGUCGUUCGAAACUACCGGGCUUGAGGUUGGGAGAGGGGUGUGGAAUUCCCGGUGUAGUGGUGGAAUGCGUAGAUAUCGGGAGGAACACCAGUGGCGAAGGCGGCACCCUGGCCCACACCUGACGCUGAGGUGCGAAAGCGUGGGGAGUAAACAGGAUUAGAUACCCUGGUAAUCCACGCCGUAAACGAUGUCAACUGGGUGUCGGUGGUGUUACACUAUCGGUGCCGAAGCAAACGCGUUAAGUUGACCGCCUGGGGACUACGGCCGCAAGGCUAAAACUUAAAGGAAUUGGCGGGGGAU